CGAGAUGUGGCUCAGUUUGGUAGAGCGCUGCGUUCGGGACGCAGAGGUCGCAGGUUCGAAUCCUGUCAUCUCGACCA
Molecule: transfer RNA, 77 nt
Filed under: Eubacterium sp.
Lineage: Bacteria; Bacillati; Bacillota; Clostridia; Eubacteriales; Eubacteriaceae
Also listed under: 4 other names
Description: tRNA-Pro
Rfam family: tRNA
About the family: Transfer RNA (tRNA) molecules are approximately 80 nucleotides in length.
Source: RNAcentral